Molecule: long non-coding RNA, 524 nt
Filed under: Meleagris gallopavo (turkey)
Lineage: Eukaryota; Metazoa; Chordata; Aves; Galliformes; Phasianidae
Description: lncRNA (ENSMGAG00000020669.1)
Source: RNAcentral
CUGUGGGUGCCAGCAAUGAAAUGCCAAAGCUGGGCCAGGCUCCAGGGCCCAGCAGAGCUCACAGGCCCUUGUCUCCACAGAGCUUCUAGCUGAGAAACUGAGCCACAACUGGGCUGCCCAGAGUGCACGGCCCCUCAGCACACCCCACUGCCGGGCUACUCAGAGUGACCUACUUCUUCCUGACCUGUUACAGUCACACUGCUGUCUGAGGUGGGCAUGCACCUGCUGAAAUUCUAAGGAGAGCUUCACAGUAGCUGAAAUUGCUGGUGACAGGGAGACUGCUCCAUGACAAAGCACAAACAUGUGCCGGCUUGAAGGCACCAACAGAAGUUUCCAAGCAUAUUAAAGGCUGCCUGCAGAGCCAGCCAUGUUUCGCAAAAUCCAAGAGGGACAAAGAAGAAUGCACAGAGAUGGGGAAGAAAAUAAAGGAGUUAUCAAACAAGAGCCAGUGCUGUUCUACACCCAUGCUCUCCUACUCGUAGCAUCACUGGUAAGUUUAAUGCUCACUACUUCUCCCUUUUCUU